Molecule: long non-coding RNA, 2667 nt
Organism: Syngnathoides biaculeatus (alligator pipefish)
Lineage: Eukaryota; Metazoa; Chordata; Actinopteri; Syngnathiformes; Syngnathidae
Exons: 3
Source: RefSeq, a predicted model, not a curated record
CCGAUAAUUUUUUAAAUCUUUUUUUUUUUUUUUAAAGAUUUUUGUUCACUAUCUGGCAACUCUCGCGAGAGCGACGAGCGCGUCCUCUUUUUACUUUUGUCUGGAUGGAGCCCAACGCAGGAAGUUGAUUAUAUCACCGGAUUAACAAAACUCUAAUCUCGUUUGAGGGAUUUACGUGAGUCAACAAGUUUUUUUGUUUCGCUUGCCGCACUGUUACUUUUUUUUUUUUUUCCUUCUCCCCCUCCCCCAAACGACAAAGCUAUUCGAAAGGUUUUUUUUUUUUAAGCGUACACGAUGUGAUGACGACGACACGAGCGGAGCCCCAUCGGCGCGCAAAGCCAAACGAUCACUGAAAGGCGACUGAAUAAUUGAUUGCCCGGCGUGGGCGCGAUAAGGCGCGUAUCAUGUAACUUGGGCACAGUUAUGAAAUGAGGAGAGAGAUUAUGAUCCUGUAAUCCGGUUUGUCCCUGAGCUUCACCUGCCCGAAGCUUCACGUCAAUAGCUCAACAGGGGGAAAAACCGCCACCCUUGAUGCCGACAAGUGCGAACAGGCUGACGCGAGGUGGAGCGUCGGGAUUUUAUUCAAGUCGCCUCUCGGCUACUCGCUAGCUCUCGUUUUAGUUCCAUUCCAUUUCCUACACAGCGUAUCCAGUUCGGGGUCGCAGGGCACCGGAUUCUGACGAUGCGGACUACACCCUGAACUGGUCACCAGUCAGUCCCAGGCGACACUGAGCGAGAACUGAAGCUCCACCAAAGUCAGGCGAGUGUAUCACUACACCAUCGGCGACGUCCGUGUUUUAGUUCGACCCAAACCGAGCAAGUCAUCUUACACGCAAGACUAACAGAGCCCGAAGGACCUCGGAAGACAAUUGUUGACAAAAGGCAGUGAUUUCUGUUUCAAACGUACAAACCCGAAAACAAAAACACAUAAACUCGGCAACGCUGGAACAACAACCCUGUGGUUCUCCGUGACACUUCUGGGAGGUUGUGAUUCAGAUUCAGGCCAAAAACAACCGAGGAGCGAUGCCCCCUAGUGAGAGACACCUGAAACCGAAGAGCUCGUCCGGAUUUGAACCUUGGACCUCUCGCACUUGAAGUACACUUGAGGUAACUGUGCCCAGAACAAAAACAGCAUUCAGGCGUUAGAACACCCGAGUUUAACUGGACUACCAGCAACCCUGUUGUGCUCCGUGACUCCAUUUUCAUGAUCCCGAAAACCCAAAUACCCCAGCUAAGGCUUAACGCAGCCUAAUCCAGGAGUCGUACCCAGGACCUCUCCCACCCGUACAGAAAACCAAAGAAACGCCACACGAAGGCAAACAUUUCUAGUAUAAUUUGGCAAUGCCCCCAAAAAAUGACGGACGCACAUAACAGUGUGGUGACAUCACAAGAACGACUAUCAGCGCUAACGACAACCACGUUGUGCUCAACUCUCGAAGGGUUUUUUUUUUGGGGGGGGGGGGGAGCCGGAGAAGCCAAGACCCCUUAUGGGAAGUCAACUUGAAGUACGCACCCAAAGCGGGAAUCGUACCCCGCGACCAACGACCUCCGACCCUAACCCAAAAGGCAAAGAUCGAGCGUACAAACACGCAGAACUGAUUGCAUCAGAACCAGCAACAGUCCUCAGGUGCGUCAGGACCCAGAUGAAGCCCAGAUGACUGCGGAACAAAAAGAUUUCAUCGUCUCAUCGUAUUUACACCAUCAAUUUAUGAAGUAGUUUUGGAAUCAGAAAUCAAGGCUAAUGUGUCCCUUCUGUUAACACAAAAAUGCUUGUAAUAUCUCAACUUUAUUUUUUAUGAUAUAUGACAAUUUGAAAUUUUGGUACAGAUUUCUUACAAGAAUCAAGCAAAUUGACACACUAGAUUUGGCCACUCGGGCCACAUAAGAUCAUGUGGUGGGCCAGAUCUGGCCCCCGGACCUGGAGUUUGACACCUGCAACAUAGCCGGUUCGUCUGGGAUUUGAACCCGGGACCUCAAUCCUUCCGGGGAUGAUCGUCUUGGAAAAUUGAUCGGACGGUUCGGGUCACACCUCUUGACCAGCGGGCCACAGAAAGCAGAGACUUCUGACCGUUGAGCAGGUCAUGAAGUUUCAACUUUCGGACCCAGUGUUUUGAAGAACCGCAAAACGUGAAAUAUAUUCAGCAGUGCUACUAAAGUGAUCCUGAAACUGAAACGGGAAUAAAGUUCCUGCAGUCCUCACAAGGUCCAUGCUCUGAGGAUUCUGAUGAGUCACCAAAUACUGUAAAGGUCUACGAAAUGUCUUGCAGUACUGCCAAAGCCAAACAGUAAAAAUGGACUUCACGCUCACAAAUACUACAGUUUAUACAACAAUUACACUUCAUCAAAGCAGUUUAUUUUACUACGCUUUUACACGAUACAUUUUUCUUAAUCCAAAACACGAAAAAGGGUGUGGGUGUUUUUUUUUGGCGGUUGGGGUAAUUUGAUUUGAUAUACUCAUAAAUUGAGUAAUUGUCCUGGUCAUGGAUUGGAUUAAACUUGUAAAUCAAAAUAAUAUUGAAUAACCCAAAAAAUAUUUGCUAUUUUUGCAAUUCUGGAGAAUCAUGUUAAUAGUGUAGCAGAAUUCCAAACAAGAGGGAAUUACUGUCAUCUAAAAAAAAAAAAAAAAUUCAUUAUUUUUGCGAUGAAAUGAUUCAAUUGAGUUUUUUU